AGUGAACGCUGGCGGUAGGCCUAACACAUGCAAGUCGAACGGCAGCACAGUAAGAGCUUGCUCUUACGGGUGGCGAGUGGUGGACGGGUGAGGAAUACAUCGGAAUCUACUUUUUCGUGGGGGAUAACGUAGGGAAGCUUACGCUAAUACCGCAUACGACCUACGGGUGAAAGCAGGGGAUCUUCGGACCUUGCGCGAUUGAAUGAGCCGAUGUCGGAUUAGCUAGUUGGCGGGGUAAAGGCCCACCAAGGCGACGAUCCGUAGCUGGUCUGAGAGGAUGAUCAGCCACACUGGAACUGAGACACGGUCCAGACUCCUACGGGAGGCAGCAGUGGGGAAUAUUGGACAAUGGGCGCAAGCCUGAUCCAGCCAUACCGCGUGGGUGAAGAAGGCCUUCGGGUUGUAAAGCCCUUUUGUUGGGAAAGAAAAGCAGCAGGUUAAUACCCCGCUGUUCUGACGGUACCCAAAGAAUAAGCACCGGCUAACUUCGUG
This 492-nucleotide ribosomal RNA is filed under the name uncultured bacterium. RNAcentral's name for it is "partial 16S ribosomal RNA". It matches the Rfam family "Bacterial small subunit ribosomal RNA", at positions 29 to 507 of the family's 1533-position model. The record is from RNAcentral.